This is a long non-coding RNA of Motacilla alba alba, 16354 nucleotides long. RefSeq lists it as uncharacterized. The record is from RefSeq and is a predicted model, not a curated record. The transcript has 3 exons. Lineage: Eukaryota; Metazoa; Chordata; Aves; Passeriformes; Motacillidae.
CGUGGGCAAAUUCUCCCUGCUCCAGCACUCCUAUUUUGGCAAGUUUCUGGGGAGGAGGGAGUCUGCAACCUUCACAUAAUACUCAACACACUCAGGCUCUCCAGACACUCCACGGUCACAAUAAAAUUCUAAACACAACUUGAUUUUUUAAAUCAGCCAUGAGUACUUGGUGGGUGGGUCUUGAACAUCUUAGGCUGUGUUUGCUGUUGGCAAGAGUAGUAUAGGAUAAAACAAUUCUUUCAGACUUCACAGGGUUUAAGAAGACUUGGUCUGUAGUGUCCCUUCCCUGGACUUGUGAGUUUAAAAGGGGGAAAAUGCUUCAAACCAUCUUCCCCCUGAGUCAUAAAUAUUUUUCCCAUCACUUCAGUGUCAUAAUCUCUCAAUCUUUCUCUCAAGAGAAAUAAUAUUCAGCAGUGAAAGCCAGGGCCAAGCCCUUUGCUGAGAGGUCAGGGACUGUAAGAGCAGCAUCCCUUGAAACAGGAUCUGAGGCAGGAGACCAGGAUACAGCAGUGUUUGCUUGUUUGCUCAGUUUUCUUUUUUAUUUUUUUUUUGUGUGAAAUGGCUUGGCACCAGUUUAUACUUCAUGUGAAAUACUUACUGUUGUCUUAACUGCAGGAAUUUUAAAAGCUUGAUCAGAAAUAUGAUCUCUCUAGUUUGUAUGCAUACUUUCCAGUAACCCAAUUAAACCCCAGCUGCUAUGCAGGAGAGAGUGAGGGUGAGUCAGAUCCUUUUUCCAAGCACUGUUCUUUAUAGAUUGCUCUUGUGCCCUCUUUGACUGAUCAGAAUUUAAUUACAUUGAAGGAAAAUUUAAAAAAAUCUAAUACUUUGUUUGGGGAUGGAAAAAUCUAAGAAUUCUUAUGGUUUCCCAAAAAUGUUUAGGACCCAAUCUUGCUCUCAGCUGAUGGAACAGCAGUUUUGGUGUGCAGUUCAAUGGGGCUCCAAGCUCUACCCCUCUUCCUCCCCUUUCCUCAGGUAACGAUGGAAGUUAGCUGGAAACCUGAUUGUCAGCUGGCCAAAGGAAGUAAACUCCUCCGAGUCUUUUGAUUGUACAGCUUGUGACUCUUCAAAUCCCUGGACUGCAAGACUCUAAUGAUUUUCCAAAGCUGCAACUGUUAGUUGGCUCUUGCUGUAAUUGAUGGACACUGCCAGUUGCUUAGACAGAUGGGAAUUAAUACCAGUGUUCCCAUUAGAACUCACCAUCACAGUCACGCUGGCUUUGCACUGGGUUGAUGUGUGCAAGAGAGUGCGUGUGGAAGGAGCAAGCGUGGUUCCGGCCUGCAGUACUUGCCCUCCAGGGUGUUGGAGCCAUCCAUCCAGCACAGAGCAGAUGAGCUGCUUGCCAGUUUGCAGAACACAUGGCUUUGAGGUGGUGUGGAAAAUGCUUCUUUCCUGGAUGCUGAGAGGCUGUGGUGAGUGGGACUCUCAUCCCCAGAGGCGUUUGUGAGCUGUAUUUACAGGUAGGCUGACAGAACACACAGCAGCUCAGCUGGAGGUGCCGGUGUCCCUGCGUGCUGGUUUGUUGGUUCCAUGCAGGGCAGGUCACACACACACAGUGCCCUCUCCUCCUCCCGAGUCUCCUGCCGUCAAAUCCAUGCGUGCUGCUCAGACCCAGCAGGUCCGGCUGCUUGCUCAGCCUAGGGGCUGAGGUGUGAGCAGUGCAUGGGAGCCCCUCCCCAAACCCAGCCGCCGAGCUGUGGUGUGCGUGGCCGUGCGCUCGCACGCAGCACAGGAGAUGUUUGACGCUCAAGGUAGGAGCGUGCUGCCCACUGCUAUGCCAAUUACUGGAUAUUAAUGGCAGGAUAGCAUGCAUAUGCCUAAACUGGGAAGCAGAAGGUUAAUAGACGAACAGCACCAGAAGAUCCCAUUUAUCAGUUUCUAUUUAUCUCUCCUUGGGAGGUGGCAGGUUUACAGUAAAUACCUUCUGUCCUCCUAAUUUCCUAAUGAUGGGGAUAAUGAUGGAGAAUGGUGAAGUCAUUAACUGGGACAGCCUCUGUGCAUCACUCUGUCAACCACAUCUCUCCAAGACCUGCAAUGAAAAGUGAUAGGCCCCAGCUGUUCACCAGAUUCUGUUCCCUUCCCCCUUCCCCAUGCUCAACCCCAAUUGCAAGCUUAGCAAUUCAAAAACAAGGGGAAAAAAUGAGACCCAAGACCUGAAUGACACAUGCCAGUCCCUUUUUAUGCUCUGGCAAUGAUAGCCUAGUGCCCUGCACUUGGGUGUGGGUUGGCCCCUAUUCCAAUGCUCCCAGUUAAAUGCAGGUGUGCGGUUCUGGAGGGAGGAGUAUGGGCUGGUAUGAGUGGAAGCCGGAAGAAGAUUGUGCUUCUGGAGCAGAGGCCCUGGGUUUCCUUAGUCCUGCCUCCCAUUCUUGCCUUCUGUGGAAGAACCUGUUCAAUGCCUGUAAAAACGGCGCCAGUUCUGUGUGUCUGACUCUUGUGUCCUGGGGUACUGAUGGAUUUUGGGGCUCACCAAUGGUCGUGUGGAACUGUGGGGAGCACAGGGGGUGGGCUCUGUUUCUAGAUCCCACUGCUUCAAGUUCACAGGACAGAGAAGUGUUCCUGAAAGAUGAACAGAGGAUCAAAUGAAGACGCUCGUAAGUAAAUUAUUGCUUUGAAAAGAUUGUCUUUUUUUUCCCACUAUGACAUUUCUGUGUAAGUGACUCUUGAGGCUUUUUAUAUUUGUUUCACAUUUGGACAGUGGCUGGGAGUUGAUGACUGUGUUCAGGGAGUUAAGAGUGGUUUGCCAUUUAUAGCAGCCAUGUGUUCAUCCAGUGAGGGCCUGUGAUUAUGGCCAGCCCUAUUUUGAGCAGGCUGUGGCCAGGAGCACCAUGUGGCAGAGCCACCCAGCCAUCCUGUGGGUGGUGCUUUUUGGUCGUGGCUGCCACGUGCUGUGCCUGGGAGUCUGACCUUCUGCCUGGGUGUGCUCUGAAAAGAGAGGCCUGCCUGAAGUGAGGUUUUCCUGUGCAUCCACCGUGUGCUGGGCUCAUAAAAGAACUCUGGAGCUGUGGGAGCUUUGUGUUAGAAGGGUUCAUUAACUUUCAAAUGUUUCAAUUGAGAAAUUUCAGAGCUCUUAGCAUAGGCCAGGGUGGCCAGCUCAGCCAAGAGUGUCCCCUGACAGUCAGGUACAGAUGUGAUUGCUAGUCAGAGCACCGUAAGAAACCUAAUAGUGUCCCAGCAAAUGUCAUACUUGAGCUGGAAAGGAUUAAACCAGAUAGCCCGGAGAGGCUGUAAAUAAUUUUUAUUGGGCUUUAAGAACUAGGGAGACAAGAGGAGCCUUUGCCUUGUAGCUUGCAAAGAAUUGUGCCUGCAGGGUUGCGGAGUGUGUGCAGUGGUGAAAGAAAGGGUUCUGGGACUGGUCUUAAUCUGAGCAGGUGCUUUCUCAAGUGCCUCGGGCUAGGAUAGAUGGUGAUGGUACAAAGGGGUGUUCUUCUGACUGAUAUCUCUGGUGUCUGAGCUCUGAGACAUGAGAAAUGAAAGGCAACAGAAGACUUUACUGUUUGGGGCUUGUGAUGUUAGCUAGUUAGUACGUGAGACAAAUGGAGUGUAAGUGUUCCCUAAACACUUCCUUCUCCUUUGUUUUCAAAUUCUAGAUGCUUUUCUCUACUAUUUAAACCUACUGAGUUGGUUUUUUGGUUUUCUUUUUUUAAACUCAUGCUAAUCUUUUAGCUGUAUGCUGCGGAGUCUUCUCCCAAGGGAGGGGAGUUGAGUUAAACACCUCUGGUAUCACUUGGUUAAUAACUUUGUGCCUCCAAUCACAAAUUGUGAGGCUGGGGAAAGAGGAGUUUGAUGUCAUGUGUGAUCAUUCAGGCCCCUCUGUUUAACCGUGUUAGCUUGGCACUGGCUUAGGGGCUGAUGUUUGGCCCUAAGUCUGUCAUCCACCUUUGUUGUAGACGUGGGAGGAGGUGCCAGUUCAGUGAAUUCCAGCCACUCCUAGGACAAGCUGCAGGGGCUCUUGGAUGGUUUUUCAGUGUUGUGACCCUUGCUGGGUUGCUUUCUGGCCAGCUGGCCUUGCCUGGGUUCUCCUCAAGUAAAGGCUAGCCCAGUGCUCGCAGUGAGGCCGAGCCUUGUGGAUUGCAACCCUCUUGUGUUGCAAUGGUUCCUGUAGGAGCUCCUAGUCAAAAGUUAGCGUAUUGUUGGUUUUUAAUGUCUUAACUUGUUCUGGUCUGUCUGUUGAAAGCCCAGUGGUCCAAGGGUGAACUCUGUGCUUUCGUUUCUGUGGCCAGCCUGUGUGCUUUUGACAGCUCAAGCUUGGCACAAACCAGGCUGAAUAGAACAUGUGAUAUUACACAGCUGUUGGCUUCUAAAUAAGGGAAAUCAUAUUAGUACCUCCAUAAGCAGUCUGUACGGUGAUUUCAGGAAAGCAUGAGGUGGCUGUUCUCGCUGGGAAGAAAGAGCUGAUAGAUCUUAAACAUAAACUAACUGUAGGGAAGACUUAAUAGCCUAGUAAGGAGGAAAGUUUUGCUUCCUUGAGUAAUGUUUGGUGGGGAAAAUAAAGGCAGGACCAAUCGCCUAUCACUGUGGAAAUUUGUUUGGGUAGGACAAUAUCUACAGCACCAAAUCUUGAGGAGGAUGGCUGCUGUUAGAAGUAUUGCUGGUCAAGUGAAAGAAAUGUCACUGGAGCAUUGUAAUAGCUAUCUGAAAUAAUUUUCUCAAUUAUGUGUAACAUACAGCAGUCGAUGACUUAAAACAUUAUCCUAUGUGACAGGACAAAGGCAGCAAAAAUGUUAGAUUUAAGACGAUUUUUAAAGGUGCAGGAUGUACAUGCUAACCCUCUGGCUAUUGAGGGUUGAAAGGAAGCAGGAGUGGCUGUUGGCAGUGAGCAUUUAGCUCUUUACGACUUGCCUGACUACGUCUGGUUCUGGCUGCUGCACACAGCUAUGGCUUCCAGAGGGAAGGGUAGCAGUGCUUCUGCAGGACAUUAUGGAUAAACCUAAUGUUUUGCAUGGAUUUCAGUGGACUCUGGUUUCCAGAAGAUUGGUGUAAAAGGAAGCUGUCAGUGGUGUUUUGCUUGAGUAACUAAGUUGUUUCUGCUUUUGCUGGACGAGGUACUGAAGUUUGGAUUCAGUAGGAGGCACAUGCUCCAAGUGGCAGUGCUCACUGGGGCUGCUCUGCACUACUCAAAUAAGGGAGAGCUCAUGGAUGGCUGUGGAGAAAUGUGAAAUAAAGGCAGGGGGCUGUUAAAUAAGAUGAUGAUGGCUGUUUUAAGGAGAAGGCAGCUGGGUAUCCAGUGUAUCCCACUGACUGCCUCAGCUCAAAAGCCAUGUCGAGUGCUACAUUUGCUAUGGCACUAGCGUGUUUAAAGGGAAUUCCAAGAGCUCUAGAGGGUCCUGGCCAUCCACCACUUCUCUCUUCCAGAAGAGCUGUUGUGAUUUGUCUUGAUAUGAAAGAACCUUCUACUCGCUGGUCUCAGAACCUGCACGGUAUGAAUCUGCCCCUGCUGCCCUCGAUACUGACUCCUGCAAGUCCUGUGGUAAAGAGUUACUAACAUCCGGUAAAGAGCUAGGCUUUCGCUAAGUUGUAUUUCCUUUGUAAUUUUUACCUUUGUGAUAUGAUAUUUUCCUUAUUCUGCGUGCGUCUUUCCCCUUCCCGUCAUUGCUGCUGCUAGCAGAGGAAACCUCUGCAGUUCUGUCCUGCUCCCAUUUGUCAGAUAAACCAUCCAUGAUAGAGGGAGCUCAAAGCUCAACGGACUGUGCAUGCAGCGUUGUUGGGGUAAUCACUGUAAGAAGUGGGCAACACUGUGGUGCAGAGCUCUGCCUGUCUGUUCCCAGGGCUCUCAGUCAUGGAGUGUGUGCUCACAUACUCCAUCAGCUGCUGUUGGCUUGCCUGCCUACACAGGCUAAAUGUAAGGCCUCCACUGAACAUUUCUGUCACUUUUGCUGUUCUGGCCACUUUGCUUAAUCAAAGAGCUGGAAGGAAAGCUCUCAUUAGAGAGGCUUCCUCAGUUGUACAAAAGCCUCUGCUUGGCUAAUUGAGGCUUUAGAGAGCUCGUGGUUCUGGUUGGGGUUGGUCUGCUUGAUGUGAUCUGGGCCUGAGGCAGAAUGAAGCAAGCAGACUUAAAUGAUGUCUGAGCUAACGUGAUGGCUGGAGAUGAACAGGGUUGUGUUCUGUUAAGGCUGUUGCUGAGAGACUACAGAGUUUCUUGCUGAAGCAGUAAACUGCUGGAAUGUGUUGUGGCUGGAGAGGUAGUUGGGAAUAUGUAGGUGAUAGUGGGAGUCUGCAUAGGGUGAGUUGAUCACUUUCUGCUUCCGUGUUCAGUGGUUGGAGCCCAGGCUCGUCAUAUAACAUGUUGGAGGAAAUAAGGGUGCAAGGCAAGCUGGGCUGCAGAGGAGUCUGAAUGGAGGAAGCAGGUCAAUGCCAGGGAAAAAGGUGUAAAGGAUAGGGGGACAGAGCUAAGGACUCUAGCUAAUAUAUCUGUAGUCCUCGAGGCUCUUAUGCUUCUGGAGCAGUGCAGCCUAGUCCAUUUUGUACGGACUAGACUAAAAUACAGACUCUGUAUUUUAUUAAAUUUUUUUGCGCAGUACUUGAUCCUAAAAGUUGCCACCUGAGAAUGAGUGAAGAAGGGGAGUUAUUCCAAGGGGCUUGUUUUGAAUUAGAUCAAUAGAACUUUUGGCCUUAAUAGUUGGUGUCCUAGGACGAGCUGAAAAAGAGCACUUGCUCUUUCAGGAUAUGGGAAUUCUUCCUCUGUGGUUAGUGAUUUGAGUGAAUCGCACCCGAGCAGGGUUCCUCUGCUGUGGGCCAAAGGCAAUGGUCUUAAUGGCCAUGCAAAAUGUGGAGUUGCCAGGCUUGCUUUGGAGGGCCCUGGCUUGUAAGUGGGUGUGCCCUGGAUGUUCUGGGUGGUGAAGCAGUGGAAGAGCAGGAGGCUGAAGGUCACAUGUUCAGCUGCUGGUGCUGAAAGCCAAUCUCCAUCCCAGGCAGAGUGUCUGAGCAGAGGUUUCAGACCGUUCAGUUGCCUUCUGCAGCUUUUGGAGGAUUGUCUUGCCAAGGAUCAAGCUGUGCUUGAAAGAGUUGGAGGGAGCAGUUGCUGCUGUUUGGCAAGCGUUGAUCCUGGUGCCUGGGCAGGAAGGCUCCCUGCUGUCUGAGCUGUCUCUGGUCAUGUGGCAGGGUCCUCCUUUCCUGUGGGAAAGAAAAUGGACCAGCUACUAAGUGCCUAGAAUUAGAAAUUAAGCUGCCCAGAGUAAGGAUGCAACCAGUGCAGGUCAGUUACUGAGCAGGGUAAAGACGGAACGCAUUUCCAAGUGGAGAUGGAGGGAAGGAGAAAGGGGAAGGGUCAGUGGGGUGCCCAUUGGAUCUUUACCAAAUUCCCAUGCAGUAUUCCUCAUUGGGCAGGCCUUGUUAGAUGUGUCUCAGUAGGUCUGGCCUGUCGGGAAUCAGCGCAGAGACAAAGGGACAGAUGAGGAAAGGAGACAGGAUAUACAGGAAUGUACAUGAUGUCACCCAAGGGACAUGUUAACUGUGAGUUUCUUUGUUACCAGUUUGAUGGUGUAUUAGUGCCUGACCUUGCGGUGAGGAUUUGGCCAUUCCCUCCUCCUCCCAAUUUCUUUUGCUGUUUGCUUUUUAUCUUCUUGCGAAGCAAUAAAGAUGCUGAAAUACGGAGAGUUCCUAUGGGAGUUGAACUCUUCAGAUACAGCAUUGCUCUGUGAAGAGAGAUGCAGGAAGUUGUGAGGGUAGGAAUGUGGAGGUUUGUCAGGAAAGCUUGGGCGAGGAGCUGAGAUGACUGUGAGACAGCACAGUUGGGAACAGCGCUGGGUAGUUGCCUUGCUCAUGUUGUGUCACAAUCUUCCCACGCCAUGACAGGUUCCAAAUGUGUGACAGAACUGUGCCUAAGACUGAAGGAUUCUCUGUCAUACAUCUGCUGUCUGUCUCCCACAUACGGAGGGGACAGGGACCUUUGUUUUGGUGGUAGAGGAUCCUCAGGCGAGCUGUCUGUACUGAUCUGAACAUAUGAUUUGGUGUGCCAGAGAUGAAGGUGUGGCUGAGCCGUGAGGCAGCUGGGAGGGCUCCGGGGAGCCAAGUGCAGGUUUGCUGUACGGUGUGACUUGGCUGAGUGAUGGCUUGUCAGGCAGGGGUGAAGUCUGGAUGAGUGCGGAAUAGAAACUUUGGGGUGGUUGUUAAACACACGAAAGCCAUCCUUAGCUCAUGUAGUCCCAGAGGUGCACGUUGUUAAGGGACUGGCCGUGUGUCCUGAAUGACUGUCCCUGCUUUAUUCUGUGUCCCUUGACAAGGUGUGUGCUGCUGGUUUCUGUCAGAGUGUGCUGGGCUGGGUGGUUCUUGGGUGUGGGCUGCAGCAGAUGUUCUUCUGAAAGAAGCUACUGCAGAAAUGGUGUAAAACAAAGGGAGCUUAAAAUUCUUCAAAGUACAUCGAUGACUUCUUACUGACUGAGCUACAUUUGCCUGGCUCACUGGUUGUCGAAAGCAAGCAGAGGAAGCUCUUUGGGCUUUAGAGAAGAGAGGCAGAUGACUUUUCCCUGACUUUCAAGGAUCCUGGGCCCAUGGCAGUGGUAAAUCAAGGUGGUCUCUGCAAGGCAGAGCAGGGUAGUGGAGUUAAUGGAUCACUGUGGCAGUAUGCAGAAGCUCAUAAAUAUAUUGGAGCUAGCCAUGGAUGAAAUGUGUCAUGUUUUGAUUCCCUAAAUGACUCUGAAAAGCUUGAUUCAAGACUUUGCUCUUAGAUUGUAGUUAUGGCUUUGUCCCCAGCUUUGCAGUAGUCUUUCACUGCUCACCUUUCUGAUAAGAGCUGUCUUUUCCCUAGAAUAAGUGAUCUGUAGCCCCAUGAGCCCCAGAGGAGUAGGUGUGGCCAGGUCUGUCCACGGAGUCCUGCUCUGUCAUAGACAUCACAUGCUCUUGGUGGAUUAUGUGGGUGUACUGGGUGCAGCUUUGUGUAUUCCUUGUUACCCAAACACUUGUUCAGAGCCUGGCAAUCUCCAAAGGAGCAGGCUGCACUAAUCACGGCUGUGGGAAGGUGAGGAAGCUGUGUGCAGUAUUGGGUUGGUCUGGAUGGAGCUGCCGUUGUUAGUUGUUGAUGUUUCUCUCAUGUCUAAGUGAGACUUUUGUACCUAGAGUAGGACGUGGUCUGUCCUUCGUGAAGCCUGUGUGCACCCUGCACCUGUGGUGCUUUCAAACCAGAAAAAGGGUAUGUGAUGGUUUUGUAUCGUGCUGCCAACAGGAAGGAAAAUAGUGUUUUAAAUGACAGCCAUUAAAUCCACUAAGGAGACAAUUUAUCAUGGCUGUGGAGUCAUCUUUCCUGUCAUCUGGGGCUUUGAAAAGGUGCUAAUGGUAAUGCUUGCUUAAAAUAUGUUUCAUGUUCCUAGGGACGUUUGGGAUUUUUUUUCCCCGGCUGGAGAUCUCUGUGUUACAAAGGUACACUGGAAUUUAACAUAGGAUUAGCUGACUGCUCUUAAUAAGACUUGCCUCUGGCAUUUGAGUGUAUGCUUAUGUAAGUAACUAUAUAUACUGAAAGUGAGGGUGUGUAAUGAAUUAUGGACAGCCUCAAUAGCAAACCGACCAAGGCUGUGUAGAAGUGACAAAGUGGAGAAAACAACUAAUGAAACAAACAAACAAAAAAACCCUAAAUAAUCACCUUCUGGGCCGAGAUUGUUUGUUUUUCUAUGGAUAUUAAUUGAACUGGAAUAAGUAUAGUGGGUUUGGAAGGAGGUGAAUUCUCCAUCCAAGGUAGACAAGAGAAGGUUUAGUGCAAGACAUGUUUAAUAAAGAAAGAUAUUUCAGAAACUCCUUGAGGCCCAAACUGUGAGAUUGAGCAUAGGAGUUAAAAUCCUGAUCCAUAUCAACCCGUGGAGUUACUUUUGUGUAGGAGAGUAUUCAACCCUUAUAUACCUGGAAGUUACUUAGGUCAGGAAGAAAAAGUGAGGGUCAGAACUUUUUGAGCUCUAUCUGAAUAUGCCCAAGCCAAAGCAUGUGUCAGCCUCUGUGUAUCUCACAGGGAGCUGGAGUGUGACCUGAAGGAUCGGACCUGGCCUAUCCUUAGAUUUUGCACCUGCUCUGUGAUGAGGUAAAGCAGCAGUGCUGGUGCGUGGUCCAUGUAUUGGUCAGGAGUUUUCAGCUCCCCAUGAAUGCCUUUGGAGCUCAGUGCAGCUGAGUUUGCAUCGUUGUAAAUUAAGCUCCUGCUGAGGUCAGAGGGCAGGAGCUAAUCUGUAAAUGAACAUUCCUCAAACUCUAGUUAUGCAUUGGACCUUUGAGAUCAGCUCUAACAAGCGUAAUGCAAACUGGAUUAGUUUGUUGUAUGCCACUGGGAAAUUAAAUGUGUCUUCCAAGUUCUUGUCACUUAAAAUUUGCUGUGACAUUUACUCUGUUUGACAAAAUGCAGGAAAAAGAGGUUCCAAUUAACCAGGACAUCAAAUGGUGUGGAUGGUGCAGUUUAUUUUGGAGGCACGAUACUCAAAAGGUCAGUCUCUCAGUCAGCUGACCUCAGUUGUUUGUAGCGUUGGCUGUGGCUAAUGAGUACUCAGCUCAGUCCAUAAUGGGAGCUUUAUGGAGGACAAAUCCAGAUAAUGGGUGCGUGUGGGCAAACUGGCUUUUUCUGAUAGCUGUGUGCUGGGGGCGGGGGGGAUGUGCAAAGUCUCUCUAACAUCGAGAAGAAGGGACUGAAUGCAGAGUUUAAGAGCCAAGAAUGUCGCCAUGAAGUCAAUACCCUCACACCUGAGCAGAAAUUAUUGCUUAGUGCUUCUGGUUGGGCUUGUGAACAGCGCAGAGCCAUGUGUAACAGGAUGGUGGUUUCAAGCCGGAGCAGAGCGGUAGUUCCUUGGGUAUGGUAAAUGGAAAUGUAUUGCUGCGUCCACACAGAGCAGUCAGUGCUGAUGACAGCCUGGAGGGAAGGUGGCCAAGUCUCCUGGUAGGCUGUUGUUUUUCAGCUGCUUUAAAUGUUGAUAUCCAUCAGUUGCAAGUAACUCAUCACUUGUACUAGAGUUCAUGGCAGCUGCUGGCCCUUUAUGUGGGCUGUUUCCAGUGUCGGCACUGGGCUGUAGUAUAUCAGCCUGAAAAAAUGUACAGUUUGAAAAUUAGGCUUUUGGGCAGAGCUUCUUAAAUGAUGCUGGAUUUGCACCAAAUUGACCCCCAGGAAACUGUUAACAUUAAGCUGGCCAGGCACCUUCCCUUUCUGCUCAAAGCUUUGGGUGUUUGGGUUAAAAAUGUGUCAUUUUUCUGUGUCCCAGCAGAACCACGUUUUACCUAAGUUUUUAAAAGCGCUGCAGCAUGGUUUUUGUCUUCUGCUGUUAAGUGAAGCCUGAUAGGGCAAUGCUGACUGGCAAGUGGCAGCUCGUGGAGGUGGUCAGCCUUAAUGUAGCCCAUAGAUUUGAACAGCACUGGUGCUGGCCAUGUGCUUGGGAAUGCCCAUUUGAAAGAAAUUAAAAAUAAUUUAAUAUGCUGCUGAGAUCUCUCUGAAUGUUACUUAUUUAAGAGGUAAGAAUAUUUAGCAUUCUUUGGUAAAUACUUCUGCUUCUUAAUACUGUGUUUGUUUUCCUUCAUUGAACUAGAUUCCAUGUAUGCACUGUUUCAGAGGAGUGUCCAGCAAAUACCUGGGAUAUACUGUGCUGUGAGCAAGGCAACCUCUAGGAUUUACCUUGUCUGCUUUCCACUGGGCUCUGUUGAAUUCAGUGGGACUGGGAAUGCAACUUCCACUGGAGUUGGGAGAGGGGAGGAAACAGUGAGAGUAAGAGGGCUGGGAGAAAGCUUGCACUACUGUAAGUUGCUGGCAGUAGGGUCACAGGAGAGAGCAAGAAGUUGCCUUGAAUUUCUGGAGGAAAUAAGAACUUGGAAUGGUGGAUUGUGAUACUGUCAGGCUUUUGGCUGAAGCAGACUUCCUGAGGCACAGUGCGAAAGAAAUAAUUUCUCAAAUUAAAUAGAACUCCCUGCAUAAUUGAAGUCAUAGCAACAAAAUGACCUCACUGCAACUUUACUCCCCCCUCCUUGUAGUUGUUUCUUUAAUUUCGUACAAUAUGUUAUUCUUGUUGUUUGGAAUCGUGGGGAGGAGGGAGAGAGGGAAAACCAACCUGUGUAAAAAUUAGCUUUGAGUUAUUCCAUCUGUGGACUCUUAAUUUUGUCAUGAAAACAGAGAAGCCUGGCAGGAAGCGAGCUUGUGACUGGCUCCAUGUAUCCUCUUGUCUGGAGCUGGGUAAGAAGUGUGGCAUUUAGAAUGAAAGCAAAAGCUUCAUUUCUGGAACUCUGAGUGUUUGCCCAAUUCUUUGACCAUCUGUUUUUGUUGACAACCACCUCUUUGUGUUGUGCCAAAGUUAUUUUGGCUUUUAUAAUUUGUAGAUGCAUGUGCGUGUGUGUAUAUGGUGGAGUGGUUGUGUGUGUCUGCGUGUGGAUCAUUAGGUUGCUGCUGACUGGGUCAGACUGGGGAAAGUGGGAUGUGUAGAAGCAGGUAUUCUGUGAGGAUUGAAUUACCAGGAGAAAUACAGUUGAGUAAUCCUGGCUUCUCUUAGAGACACUUGAGUCCUAUCUGUGUUACCCUGUCAAAAGCUGCCAGCUUCUAGUGGCUGUCCUUAAGUAACUUUGGUUGCGUCACAGCCAUUUAGAGUAGGCAAGUACUUUCCUCAGAAAUGAAUGCUGGGGUGAGCAGUCCUGAUGGAGAGCCCGGCAGUUGACUGCAGGUGGAUAGCAGCUGGGUCCCUGUGCUCCGUGGUGCUGGCACGGAGGUGCUCAACCACCUUAGCCUCUCUUGAGCUGUGCUGCUGUUCCGUUCUUGCUGUCUCUUAGGGGGCAGUUACUCAUUCCCUGCAUCCUUCAUAUAAUUUUAUCCCCAACCAGUAUGGAAUGGAUAUGCGCGCGAGCAGCUAAUGUUGAGAACUCUGUUGUAGAACUGCAAAAGGACUUGAAAAUUCAGCCUCAAAACUUGGCAUGAGACAUCUUUUUGAGCAUGUGUGUGUUUCUAAACCUGUGUUUUCUCUACCUUGAAUAAAAUGUCUUUGUUUUCUUCUGAAAGCUGUGUAGGGAAGCUGAGUGCUUUCUGUGCUUUCCACACUGAGUUUUUCCUGCAGUGCCUUCUGAACUCUUGUUGGCAUGAGGGUAGGCCAGAGUAACAUCUACAGCCCAUGACAGCAGCAAAAUGAGGCUAACAAAUAUCCUUCUGAGGAUGCAGCGUGACAGCUUCAUCCAUCCCGCUGCAUUUGCAUCGGGAGUGCGGAAUGGCUGCGUGUCAUGGGCCACUGCCACUGCACACAGUCAUUUAUUUAAUAACUCGUGCACAGGCAUUAAAGGGGAGCCUGCAAGACAUCAGUGUGGUGGAGACAAAUAAGAAAUUAAGAGAUGGCAGCAUUUAGAAAAGUUUAGUUUGUGCUGUUCCAUCAUGGUAACUUUCUGUUCAGCAGUGCUUCAGGUAUAAAGUGAAUGGGGUUUUUAUGGGCAGUAGCAAGGCCUGCACUGUGGCGUGGCACGGUGGCUUCCCUGUGUUUUUUGCUAUGCUGUGAGUUUGCGGGUGGCCUCUUCCAAAGAUAAGCUUUUUCUCUUGCAAUAUCAAGUGUUAGAGUUAAUUAUGCAGCUUGCACGAGAUGCUUCUGGCGUGUGAACCAGGUAGAUUAAAACUGCUUCAAAUCUGGAUGAUUGCUUAUUUUUCUCCAGAGCAUCAUUAAUUCAUGUGAAAUUGAGUCUCUUUGUUAAUCAGGAUUUUUCUAGGAAUACCAAGUGCUACAAUUCUAUCCUGGGGAGAACUGGUUUAAAGUGGAGUGCCUUGAAAUUCAGCUUUUUAAAUACUUACCUAGAGAGAUAAAUGGAGAAACUGAAACACAUGGAAUAGGUAGUCACUUCAGAAAAGCUGUUUGUAAGCAUAAAAUGGUAAUCUUUCUGUCACUUUAGAUGCCUUUUCAGGGAUUGCCUUCCAGUCCUGUGUUUCUGUGUGCAAGUGAGGUGUCUGGGGUCUUUGAGAUGUGUUGACUUGUGCAGAUGCUUCUGGUGAGUGCUGGUUCGGUUGGCUAUGAACGUGUUGCCUCAGAAACCAAACUGAAGUUAUACUAAGUAGAACAGGACUGAAUUUGGGUGAGGACAGUAUGUCAUGCUGAAAAAAGGGAACAGCGAAGGUUCUGUGCAUGUACAAAUAGAUGGUGUUGUUUCUGUGAAAAAUACAAAGCAGGUUUUUAAAUGGCAGAGUCCAGAUGAAAAACUCCUAAACCCUGUGCAGGCACUUAAAAUGGAUGUUUUUUGCUGCAGUGGGAAGAAAGAGUCCUUCAUUUUUCUCAUUGGUGGGAGCCCAUUUUUAACAGUGUAAAAAAAAUAUCAUGUUGUCUGCUGUAGGAGUAAGUCAUCAGAUUAACGAGAGAGGAACACCAGAGGUUGUCAGUCCCCCUUAGCAUCAGCCGUGUCUUCCUCACAGCCAGGCUAGUUCUAACCCUUCAGUUCUUGUUUGCAGAACUCACUGUGUGCAAGGAAUGUCUCUUGGGUAGCUUUGCUUAAUAGCAGUUAAGAAUCAAGGGCCUUGGAAGUGUAGCGUUCAAAGCAUUUCUGUUCUCAGAAGGCUGGAGAAAAAGAUGUUUGAAAAAUAAAAAAUGCCAAGGGUAGAACGUGCAUGGAAGGCUAGAAAAAAGGCUCAGGCAAGAGGGAUGACUGUUCUGUUGUGUUCUCACUGACCUAGCACCCUGUAUUUCCUAUGUUGUUGUUAGUAAUAUUGCUGCCGCUGCAGUAGAGGAUGGCUGCAGAGGUUAUGAAUGCCUGCCUGGUAGGGGAGCGAGUGUCUCAGUCUUGUCUAGAAACUGGGGUAACUCAGCAGCUGUAUGUGUGUGCAGCUGGAGAGAAAGUGGAGCUCUUGGGCCAGGUGUGGGGAAAAGUCACCUGUCUGUGCAUGUCAGACACCCGAGGUGGGUUCUGCUGUUGGCCUGUUGCUGAACAAUGGCACGUUGAGAGCUGAACUGCAGUGUUCUGUCUAUCUGCAGUCACUUGCUUGGGCUGCUUGGAAGCACUGACGUGAAGAAAAACAGGCAAGUGGUAUUGGCCACUUGUGCCCUCUCCAUACCUGGAACACAUGGGUCAUAGAGAGCCUGUCCUGCAGCUCUGGGAACCCAUACUUAGCCAUUACUCAAGCUCUCUGUAGGUAUAAAUGAAUGCCACCUCAUGGAUUUCAGUGCCAUUAACAUCCGUGAAAGCAAGCGGAGGUGCCAGAGUCCGAGAGGGCAUGUAACAAAACCAAAAGGUUCCUGUGGAUUUGCAUGUAGUAUUGUGGUGUUGCCUUCUGGUGAUAUUUAGAGAAGACUGAUGUUUAGGACCUCCUGUGUUUUCUAGAUGGCUAAAUAAUUAAAAAAAGAAAUACCAGAAGAACGAAAAAGGCACCAUAUACUUGACGGACAAGGAAAAGCCUGUACUUGAAACAAAGCUAUGUGUAAAUUCGGAGUUCUGCUCACUAGACUAAAAGUACAUUUAUCUUGCAGUGGCAGAUGGUUUCCAGAGUUGAUUUCAAAGCAGAGAGCAGUGCAGAGGGAAAGGAUGAGGACUGUCUUCCCAUCAGUCGGGGGCGAUGGGUGGUGAUCCAGUUUAGCGCUGGUACACAGGACCUGCUUCUCUGACUGCUCAUUUGUAGUUUUGUGGUACCCUGUUUUCCAGGCUGUUAUUUUGGGCAAGAUGUCUAGUUUUCAGCAUUGUCAUGAGACCUCUGGUAACAGCUGAACACAGCUGAUACCUUACUACUGCUGUCGCUACAUGGAACUAAUAAAUACCUAGUUUGAAAAGCACACGGAUUCAGUGAGGUAUGAGUUGCUUUCAUAAGAUGUGGUGGACUCUUGAAGGGCUUUUUUUAUGGCUGUUGGGAUGUGUUUGAUGUUAGGGCUCCAGCUUACCUAGCAGCUGCAGUCUCGAAUGUGGAAUAUUUCAGAUCUUGAUGGGUUGGUUUGUUUCUCAGUUGCUGUUCAGACUCCUUCCCAUGGCUGGAGUGGGUGGAAAACCAGGCCUUUUUCCCUCACUGAUAUUGGCACCUACCCAGACUUUCCAAAGUUGGUGGCAGAACCCAAUGCAAAAUACUGAAGUUGUCUAAGUUCUUUGGAGGUAUGUGGUACCGUCCCUUGUCAGGAGUUUAAAGUGCAGAAAACUCUGCUUUGAAGAAGGGUGGGCUGAAAUACCCUCCUGAGCUUCAUUUCAGCUGUAAUUCUUUGGAUUUAUUAGUCUAAUUUGAAGUAUUCUUUGUCACUAAGGAAGUAUUGUAGACUGUUGCUAAUUCUGGCUGGAAAGCUUGUUUUGGUCAGCAGAAAUCUUGUCUGGCAUUUGCUAGAUGCUUGGUGGUGAAUGGGGGAGGCUGAUUCUUUAUCAAGGAAGACUUCAGGACUUGAAAUCCAAACCCCAGUUUCUUCCAGAAGGAAUGGAAUCAUCUAAAGUGUGUGAUGACCUUGAUAAUUUUGAUGAGAAUUCUACAUUACAACUGUCUGCUCUUGUU